Molecule: ribosomal RNA, 382 nt
Filed under: uncultured Sneathia sp.
Lineage: Bacteria; Fusobacteriati; Fusobacteriota; Fusobacteriia; Fusobacteriales; Leptotrichiaceae
Description: bacterial SSU rRNA
Rfam family: Bacterial small subunit ribosomal RNA
Source: RNAcentral
AUAUAGACUGGGAUAACAGAGGGAAACUUCUGAUAAUACUGGAUAAGUUAGUAGUAGCAUUACUAAGUAAUGAAAAGGUAGCAAUACGCUAUAUGAGAGCUUUUGCAUCCUAUUAGCUAGUUGGUGGGGUAAAAGCCCUACCAAGGCGAUGAUAGGUAGCCGGCCUGAGAGGGUGGACGGCCACAAGGGGACUGAGAUACGGCCCUUACUCCUACGGGAGGCAGCAGUGGGGAAUAUUGGACAAUGGAGGCAACUCUGAUCCAGCAAUUCUGUGUGUGUGAAGAAGGUUUUAGGACUGUAAAACACUUUUAGUAGGGAAGAAAGAAAUGACGGUACCUACAGAAGAAGCGACGGCUAAAUACGUGCCAGCAGCCGCGGUAAU